Molecule: ribosomal RNA, 470 nt
Filed under: Tannerella forsythia
Lineage: Bacteria; Pseudomonadati; Bacteroidota; Bacteroidia; Bacteroidales; Tannerellaceae
Description: bacterial SSU rRNA
Rfam family: Bacterial small subunit ribosomal RNA
Source: RNAcentral
GAGUUUGAUCCUGGCUCAGGAUGAACGCUAGCGAUAGGCUUAACACAUGCAAGUCGAGGGGCAGCGAGGGUAGCAAUACCUGUCGGCGACCGGCGCACGGGUGAGUAACGCGUAUGUAACCUGCCCGCAACAGGGGGAUAACCCGGCGAAAGUCGGACUAAUACCGCAUAAAACAGGGGUCCCGCAUGGGAAUAUUUGUUAAAGAUUUAUCGGUUGCGGAUGGGCAUGCGUACCAUUAGGUAGUUGGUGAGGUAACGGCUCACCAAGCCUUCGAUGGUUAGGGGUUCUGAGAGGAAGGUCCCCCACACUGGUACUGAGACACGGACCAGACUCCUACGGGAGGCAGCAGUGAGGAAUAUUGGUCAAUGGGCGAGAGCCUGAACCAGCCAAGUCGCGUGAAGGAUGACUGCCCUAUGGGUUGUAAACUUCUUUUACAAGGGAAUAAAAUGAGAUACGUGUAUUUUAUUGCA